Molecule: non-coding RNA, 105 nt
Organism: Cutaneotrichosporon oleaginosum
Lineage: Eukaryota; Fungi; Basidiomycota; Tremellomycetes; Trichosporonales; Trichosporonaceae
Source: the annotation of a RefSeq genome assembly
ACGCCGUUGGUGAAACGGUAUCAUGCGUCGUUGCCAUUGCUCUGAAGUCUAUGAAGCUUCUCCAAAUGCGUCGACGCGGCAGGGGUUCGACUCCCUUACGGCGUA